GGGGAUGUAGCUCAGCGGUAGAGCAUAUGCUUUGCAUGCAUGAGGCCCCAGGUUCAAAGCCUGGCAUCUGCA
This is a non-coding RNA of Phyllostomus hastatus (greater spear-nosed bat), 72 nucleotides long. The record is from the annotation of a RefSeq genome assembly. Lineage: Eukaryota; Metazoa; Chordata; Mammalia; Chiroptera; Phyllostomidae.